GGCGGCAAGGCGGCAAAAGUGGCAAAUUCUCGAACACGUCUCUUUCUCUAACAUCUCUCUCAAACUCUAAACCAUCUAAAUUCUCACUUCUAGUCCUUCCUCAGCUUGUCUUUUCGCCAUUCUACAAAUUUGAAAUGGUUGCUUAACUUGUUGCAGAUCCUUCUCAACUGUGUCAUUUUAGGGAUGAAUUUCUCAUAAUAAGAAGUUUCAUUUUGUUCGAUGAGGUUAUACUUCAUACCUCCCUUUGCCACAUCAAAUUCUGCGCCACUUUGGCAUUGUGACCUGUCCAGUAAGCUCCAGUCAAUUUUCUUUUAAACGUUUCAUACUUGUUAAGCUUUACAACAAUUUUGUAUGCAUGCAUACUUAGAUGCUUGAAAAUGGUCUGGGCCAUCUAGUAUGUUAAGAACGUAUGCUUCAAUUUGUUGCGGGCUUGCUCAUUCUAGGAAAAAGCUUUUAUCUAUUUAGCAUUUGACCCA
This is a non-coding RNA of Theobroma cacao (cacao), 476 nucleotides long. The record is from RefSeq and is a predicted model, not a curated record. Lineage: Eukaryota; Viridiplantae; Streptophyta; Magnoliopsida; Malvales; Malvaceae.